UCGUGGUGUGCACAGACCAGUAGGCAUCAAUUGAUCCAGCUCAGUGAUGCUCUUGGAGAGAGAGAUGGCACUGCAGAGAUCCCAUUCGUCAGCUUUAGCAGUUGGGAAGGGAUGGGAGAACAGCUCAUCACAGAGCUCUGCGUCCUGCACCAUGCCCAGUGCAUGCUCUCACUUCACAGUGGCACAAGUUGCCCAGGGAAAUUGUGGCUGCCCCAUCCUUGGAAGUGCUCAAGACCUGAGACCAAUUCAGCUGUCUGAAAGGAAAACUAAGAUCUUUGCACUUUUCAGCAACGAUAUUGCAGAGACGAGGAGGCCAGUUCCACUGGUUCCAGUGAGGACAUCUGAGUUGCCUGGAUCUGGGUGAGAGAACACAGUGUGCCCUUAUGGCCCAGCGUGAGGUCUUGUAGGGUAACAAAGAAAAUGGUCAAACAUACAGCAGAAGUUUAUGUCAUGCCAAAAAUGAACCCAGAGAGAGCAUAAAAACAGUAUUUAUUUUUUUCUCAUGCCUAUUUCUGUUCACAAUAUUACUGUAAAAGCCUCUUAAUUACCGGAGGGGAGCUCGUGCCUUUUGGUGGAACAGCACACAGCUGUAUUUGUGCGUUUGCAGGGAGGUUUUGCUUUUGUCCUUUUGCUUCUGUACACAGUGAUCACUGUGUGGGUUGUGUGGGGCAGGGCUGUCAUUGAACCCCUUGAGUCAAAAGGGAUCAGUUAAAGGUCAGAUAGUCCAACUCCCAGUGUCUAGGAGAAGAUAACCACAAAAAAUCAGUGGUGUCCAGCUAGGCAGAGUAUGUACCUCAUUGUGUCAGAUCAGGAUGGGAGCCUGCUCCAGCCAGGAGGCAAGGGUAGCUCAGAUAUGAAUUGCAAAGAGAAUGGAACUUUGAUUUUCCUGUCAACCGGCGCGCUCUGCACUCCUGGCUCCCUGCUGAUAAGCUUGUCUUAAUGGUGGUGGGAUACAAAACUAUAUUGACCGCAUCUCCAGGCUGCCUGUCUCAAAGGGAAAGCUGUGCCUUCCCCAAGUUUUAUGACUUGAAGCUGUCAAGGAAAAGGGGGGCGAGGGGGGAAAGUUGUGAUGGAUUCAUUCUUCAGCCUUAUCCAGGGCUACACUGCACCUUCUGCAAAUAUCAGCUCCUUGAAAGGCUGUGGAGACAGAGGAGAGGAGAGAGCCUCAGAUAAAUCACAGUAUUUGCAUGGCUUUGUGCAGAUGACAACAGCACGUGGACAGUCCUUUUUUUUCUCCCCUUACUUGAAAGUGCAACCAGACAAUCUCCUCCCCUUCCUUCUGGCCUGUUCCCACUCUCACUCGUUCAUUAUUACCAUUAAAAAUUAUUGAUAAGGAAACUUAAUCGUGGGUCAAAGUUCUCAACAUUUAGAUGAUUCCUUCUGUGCAUUUCCUCCUCCCUUCUGCCCUUGUAUCGCUAUCUGCCUUUCCCAAAGCUGAGCUCAGAGUCCAGCACAGCUCCGGGUUCCUUCCCUCCCCAUACCCAGUGAUGAUGUGGCUCAUUUGGGCAGAACAUGGGAUUAGGGCUGCCCAAACAUGGGGCUGGACAGCACGAGGCAGCUAGGAGCUUUCACAAGUCACGAAUCAGAGCAGCUUAGUGCUUGGAAAAUAGCUUGCAUGAGCUUGAGUUCAUCCUGCCUGUGGUUUUGUGUCUUAAAAACGUUCCAGCAGUCACAGGACUGCAGGACAAAACAAUAAAAGGAAGAAAAGCUGGGAUGGCAGGAGGCUGGCAGUGCUGCAGUGAGCUGGGGCAGCAGUACCACGAGUGGUGGUGAUGAAGAAGGCUGACCUUCCAAGCACUGCCCAGGGGAGGAGAGCACCUUGCAAAGCCCAGAUAGGAAUGGAACCCCGGAGCUGACAUCUCGCUGCUGCUGAAGCCUGCGAAGCUGCACUGCUUUGGAGAGCUCUCAGCUGGUUUGUACUCUUGGGCUGGACGUAAGCCCAUAAGCUGUAACUUUUCCA
Meleagris gallopavo (turkey) is the source of this 1960-nucleotide RNA transcript. RefSeq lists it as uncharacterized. The record is from RefSeq and is a predicted model, not a curated record. NCBI's taxonomy places the organism in Eukaryota, Metazoa, Chordata, Aves, Galliformes, Phasianidae.